Molecule: ribosomal RNA, 484 nt
Filed under: uncultured bacterium
Lineage: Bacteria
Description: partial 16S ribosomal RNA
Rfam family: Bacterial small subunit ribosomal RNA
Source: RNAcentral
GAUGAACGCUGGCGGCGUGCUUAACACAUGCAAGUCGAACGGUGAAGCAGGAGCUUGCUCUUGUGGAUCAGUGGCGAACGGGUGAGUAACACGUGAGCAACCUGCCCCUGACUCUGGGAUAAGCGCUGGAAACGGCGUCUAAUACUGGAUAUGUGAUGUGACCGCAUGGUCUGCAUCUGGAAAGAAUUUCGGUUGGGGAUGGGCUCGCGGCCUAUCAGCUUGUUGGUGGGGUAAUGGCUCACCAAGGCGUCGACGGGUAGCCGGCCUGAGAGGGUGACCGGCCACACUGGGACUGAGACACGGCCCAGACUCCUACGGGAGGCAGCAGUGGGGAAUAUUGCACAAUGGGCGGAAGCCUGAUGCAGCAACGCCGCAUGAGGGAUGACGGCCUUCGGGUUGUAAACCUCUUUUAGCAGGGAAGAAGCGAAAGUGACGGUACCUGCAGAAAAAGCACCGGCUAACUACGUGCCAGCCGCCGCGGUAA